CUUCCAUGUGGGACACGAGCCUUCAAUGCCUGAUAAAGCCUGAAAGCCACAAUCUGCCCUGGAAACCCAGCUCCACCCUGCUUCCACUACAUCAGGAGGUGAAGGAGGAAAUUGAAAGUGUGAAACACCAGUGGGAGGAAAAGGUUCCUGUAACAAAUGUGGUUAUCAAUGGGAAAGAAGCUUUCUAGAGCUUAUAUAUGGGGCCGAGUCAUGCACACUUCAUCAUACUCACCAGGGGAUGACCCAGACCAUCAUUCUUCUCUGGUCUGCCACCUUCAUCCUCCACUUGCAGCCUCCUUUGCAGUGACCAUACAGGUGCAGAGCAUGAGCAGGAUGCACAGGGGUUUAUGUGGUCAGGCCUGCCUGGAGUUGGCUCAUAGCAUUUCUGCUUCCAUUCUUAGGUCUGAAAUCCAGGUCACAGAGCCCUAACAUAACUACAAAGGAUCCUGAAAAGUGUUGUAUUCCAGUGUGCCUUGGA
This 478-nucleotide long non-coding RNA is filed under the name Pan troglodytes (chimpanzee). RNAcentral describes it as "lincRNA". The record is from RNAcentral. Lineage: Eukaryota; Metazoa; Chordata; Mammalia; Primates; Hominidae.